CAGAGAAAUGAAGUGACUUAUCCAAGUUCACAACAGCAGACAAAUGGCAGAGCUGGGAUUAGAACCCAGGUUCUUAUGCCCCAGCUAGUGCUCUAUCAACUAGGCCAUGUUGCUUCUCUAGACACCUAGGAAGCACUUAACGAACAUCACAGUCUGUUGUUAUUAUCAUGUUAUUUCUCACUCUCAGAAAGCUCUCCGGGAAUGUCCUGCCCAGCCCACCGCUGUUUGACUGGGAAGCACGAUUCUCCGCAGACACCUACCCGUUCGAUUGUUCAUCUCCCCCUUGGCACAGGGAACACAGUUGUAGCAGCAGGCAGCUUUCCUUUCCUGGGCUGUUUUCCUGAAUUCCGGCCAGCAGCUCUCGCUACACAUGGAGCAGAGCUCUACCGGCUUCCAGUCCAAGAUGACAAUCUGGGAUCUCAUCCAAUAACGCCUCCUCAAUCAACCGAUCAAUCAGUGGCAUUUAGUGAGCACUUGCACUGUAUAAAGCACUGUAUUAAGCACUUUGCAGAGUACAGUAUAAGAGUUGGAAGACACGUUCCCUGUACACAUGGAGCAUCCAGGCCUGAAGAGGAGACAGACAUUAAAGUAAACUACGGAUAUGGACGUUGUGGGCCCGGAAUGUGUUUGCUACAGUUACACUGCACUCUCCCAAGGGCUAGGUAUAGCGCUCUGCCCACUGUAAGCACUCAGUGAUUACGAUUGACUGACUAACUGACUGACAGAAAGACCGUGGGACUGAGUGUGGGGUGAAACUGUACAGCAGCUUCCUGGCCAGGAACUCUUGACCAUGGCCAGGAGUCCCAUGUAGCCUGGGACACAGUAGAAAGCAGUGGCGGAACCCUCAGUACAUUGGAUGAUGAUGACCCCGACCUCAGAUGCCACAUCCACGUGGGAGAAUGGAGGUGAGGUCCCCAACCAGACCGUGCAGAUGCCCACUUGGAGGAGGGAGCAGAUGCAGAUGAUGAAGGAAGGCACCAUGGGCCCCAGCCGUGUUCUCAUUCUGCUCCUCAGCCCAGUGGCCCUGAAUGCCAGGACCAUGAUGACCGUCUUGGCCAUCACAGUGGAAAUGGCCAGGGAGAAGAUGACUUCAGAGGCCGUUUGUCACGCAGGUCAUCUCAUCCUCCUCCUCCUGCUCCUCCUCCUCAUUUAUUACCUGAGAAAAUAGACCAUCCCAUGUUAUCUUCUCCUCACUGAUGAUGAAAUCUUGGCCAGCUGGGGCCAGGGGGAUGAACUCUCCCACUUUGAUGUAGACUUUGGUUCCAUUCUGUAAAAUCUGAUAGUUCAGGAUAUCAAACCUACUGGUCGCCCAGCUGAGGUCAUCCAAACGGACCCACUCACCAGCGCCAGUGUGGAUUCGAGCGUUCUUCAGAGGCGAGUGGAGCUGGAGGGAGAAGGAGACACCAGUGACUCAAGUCACCAAAGUAGCAGAGUACUGUAGUGGACAGAGGGAGGGGAGAAUUACCUGCCAUGGAUGAGGGAUCCAGCUUGGUCCAUCUCCCAAUGUCUCCAUGUCCUUGGCAGCCCAAAUCUCUUGGUGGAGUGUGUGAGCGAUGACCUAUACAGUGCUGUACACGCUGUAACUU
This 1586-nucleotide long non-coding RNA is filed under the name Ornithorhynchus anatinus (platypus). RNAcentral describes it as "lncRNA (ENSOANG00000049406.1)". Lineage: Eukaryota; Metazoa; Chordata; Mammalia; Monotremata; Ornithorhynchidae. The record is from RNAcentral.